GCCGUUGAAAGCCAAUGACAGUGGCUGGAGCAAUGACAAAAGCUACUCAAGUUCUGUAACAAGGUGGUGAAUCCCAAACUGAAUACCGCUCUGUACAUGAAGAAGGGCCUCAUGAUGAGCUUUAGGAAGAUGGAGCAAUAACACAUGCUGAGUUGGAAAAAUAAGGGUAACAAUGCAGUCCAUUUGAAGUUGGAAAAAGAUCAUCCAUAGUUGAAGAACAUGACAAAGAACAUAGGAGUUUCAUUCUCUGAAUAAGGGAAAUCAAAAUGAAAAAAGCAUGCCUGAUUCGAGAGGGGGAGAGGGUGUUACAUACCUGAACUCUCUAAACUUCUCUGAUGAUCCGCCUUGUGACUCAAUGAAAUUCGGGAGGGACAGGUUGAACUCCAGAUACACGAGAUCUCUAGCCCGAGCCAUGGUUCAGUGUACCUUUUAUAUGACUGCUUCC
This is a long non-coding RNA of Lolium rigidum, 445 nucleotides long. RefSeq lists it as uncharacterized. The transcript has 3 exons. The record is from RefSeq and is a predicted model, not a curated record. NCBI's taxonomy places the organism in Eukaryota, Viridiplantae, Streptophyta, Magnoliopsida, Poales, Poaceae.